This 484-nucleotide ribosomal RNA is filed under the name uncultured bacterium. RNAcentral's name for it is "partial 16S ribosomal RNA". It matches the Rfam family "Bacterial small subunit ribosomal RNA", at positions 30 to 507 of the family's 1533-position model. The record is from RNAcentral.
AUUGAACGCUGGCGGCAGGCCUAACACAUGCAAGUCGAGCGGAUGAAGGGAGCUUGCUCCUGGAUUCAGCGGCGGACGGGUGAGUAAUGCCUAGGAAUCUGCCUGGUAGUGGGGGAUAACGUCCGGAAACGGGCGCUAAUACCGCAUACGUCCUGAGGGAGAAAGUGGGGGAUCUUCGGACCUCACGCUAUCAGAUGAGCCUAGGUCGGAUUAGCUAGUUGGUGGGGUAAAGGCCUACCAAGGCGACGAUCCGUAACUGGUCGGAGAGGAUGAUCAGUCACACUGGAACUGAGACACGGUCCAGACUCCUGCGGGAGGCAGCAGUGGGGAAUAUUGGACAGUGGGCGAAAGCCUGAUCCAGCCAGGCCGCGUGUGUGAAGAAGGUCUUCGGAUUGUAAAGCACUUUAAGUUGGGGGGAAGGGCAGUAAGUUAAUACCUUGCUGUUUUGACGUUACCAACAGAAUAAGCACCGGCUAACUUCGUG